UAUGUAGGUGGCGCGCGUUGUCCGGAAUUACUGGGUGUAAAGGGCGUGUAGGCGGGGGCUCAAGUCGGAUGUGGAAUACCGUGGCUCAACCACGGGGCUGCAUCCGAAACUGUGCCUCUGGAGUACCGGAGAGGAAAGUGGAAUUCCCAGUGUAGCGGUGAAAUGCGUAGAUAUUGGGAGGAACACCUGUGGCGAAGGCGACUUUCUGGUCGGUAACUGACGCUGAGGCGCGAAAGCGUGGGGAGCAAACAGG
RNAcentral lists this ribosomal RNA (253 nucleotides) under uncultured bacterium. Its description in RNAcentral is "partial 16S ribosomal RNA". It matches the Rfam family "Bacterial small subunit ribosomal RNA", at positions 524 to 776 of the family's 1533-position model. The record is from RNAcentral.